UGAGGAAUAUUGCACAAUGGGGGAAACCCUGAUGCAGCAACGCCGCGUGGAUGAUGAAGGCCUUCGGGUUGUAAAAUCCUUUUCUGGGGAACGAUGAUGACGGUACCCCAGGAAUAAGUCCCGGCUAACUACGUGCCAGCAGCCGCGGUAAAACGUAGGGGGCGAGCGUUAUCCGGAUUUACUGGGCGUAAAGCGCACGUAGGCGGCAUCGUAAGUUGGGCGUUAAAGCUCCUGGCUUAACUGGGAGAGGUCGUUCAAUACUGCGGUGCUUGAGGUUGAAAGAGGAGAGCGGAAUUCCCGGUGUAGUGGUGGAAUGCGUAGAUAUCGGGAGGAACACCAGUGGCGAAAGCGGCUCUCUGGUUCACACCUGACGCUGAGGUGCGAAAGCGUGGGGAGCGAACGGG
Molecule: ribosomal RNA, 404 nt
Filed under: uncultured Anaerolineae bacterium
Lineage: Bacteria; Bacillati; Chloroflexota; Anaerolineae
Description: bacterial SSU rRNA
Rfam family: Bacterial small subunit ribosomal RNA
Source: RNAcentral